This 694-nucleotide ribosomal RNA is filed under the name Acinetobacter sp. MMRF1032. RNAcentral describes it as "bacterial SSU rRNA". It matches the Rfam family "Bacterial small subunit ribosomal RNA", at positions 354 to 1039 of the family's 1533-position model. The record is from RNAcentral. Lineage: Bacteria; Pseudomonadati; Pseudomonadota; Gammaproteobacteria; Moraxellales; Moraxellaceae.
GUGGGGAAUAUUGGACAAUGGGGGGAACCCUGAUCCAGCCAUGCCGCGUGUGUGAAGAAGGCCUUAUGGUUGUAAAGCACUUUAAGCGAGGAGGAGGCUACUGAGACUAAUACUCUUGGAUAGUGGACGUUACUCGCAGAAUAAGCACCGGCUAACUCUGUGCCAGCAGCCGCGGUAAUACAGAGGGUGCGAGCGUUAAUCGGAUUUACUGGGCGUAAAGCGUGCGUAGGCGGCUUUUUAAGUCGGAUGUGAAAUCCCCGAGCUUAACUUGGGAAUUGCAUUCGAUACUGGGAAGCUAGAGUAUGGGAGAGGAUGGUAGAAUUCCAGGUGUAGCGGUGAAAUGCGUAGAGAUCUGGAGGAAUACCGAUGGCGAAGGCAGCCAUCUGGCCUAAUACUGACGCUGAGGUACGAAAGCAUGGGGAGCAAACAGGAUUAGAUACCCUGGUAGUCCAUGCCGUAAACGAUGUCUACUAGCCGUUGGGGCCUUUGAGGCUUUAGUGGCGCAGCUAACGCGAUAAGUAGACCGCCUGGGGAGUACGGUCGCAAGACUAAAACUCAAAUGAAUUGACGGGGGCCCGCACAAGCGGUGGAGCAUGUGGUUUAAUUCGAUGCAACGCGAAGAACCUUACCUGGCCUUGACAUACUAGAAACUUUCCAGAGAUGGAUUGGUGCCUUCGGGAAUCUAGAUACAGGU